AUUGAACGCUGGCGGCAGGCCUAACACAUGCAAGUCGAACGGUAGCACAGAGAGCUUGCUCUCGGGUGACGAGUGGCGGACGGGUGAGUAACGUCUGGGAAACUGCCCGAUGGAGGGGGAUAACUACUGGAAGCGGUAGCUAAUACCGCAUAACGUCGCAAGACCAAAGUGGGGGACCUUCGGGCCUCACACCAUCGGAUGUGCCCAGAUGGGAUUAGCUAGUAGGUGGGGUAAUGGCUCACCUAGGCGACGAUCCCUAGCUGGGCUGAGAGGAUGACCAGCCACACUGGAACUGAGACACGGUCCAGACUCCUAGGGGAGGCAGAAGUGGGGAAGCUUGCACAAUGGGCGCAAGCCUGAUGCAGCCAUGCCGCGUGUAUGAAGAAGGCCUUCGGGUUGUAAAGUACUUUCAGCGGGGAGGAAGGCGGUGAAGUUAAUAACUUCACCGAUUGACGUUACCCGCAGAAGAAGCACCGGCUAACUCCGUGCCAGCAGCCGCCGUAA
This 504-nucleotide ribosomal RNA is filed under the name uncultured bacterium. Its description in RNAcentral is "partial 16S ribosomal RNA". It matches the Rfam family "Bacterial small subunit ribosomal RNA", at positions 29 to 523 of the family's 1533-position model. The record is from RNAcentral.